RNAcentral lists this long non-coding RNA (390 nucleotides) under Penaeus japonicus. RNAcentral describes it as "uncharacterized LOC122242710". Lineage: Eukaryota; Metazoa; Arthropoda; Malacostraca; Decapoda; Penaeidae. The record is from RNAcentral.
GGGGCAAGUGUCCUCACUCACAGCAGCAGUCCAGAGGCGCUUCGCUGCUCAAUUUCGAGCAAGGAACUCCGGGUAUCUCCUUUAACCUGUUGGGAAAUCUUUGUUAUUACUCCAUCGAAUGAAUCCUUCUUUGAACGUCAUUGACAGCUGUGACAAAUGAAGGCACGGAUGAUGAAGGUGUUAGUGACACUGACACUAGUGGUGACAUCCAGCACAUUUCAAUCGCGUGAUGUAAGGACGACAGACCACGCCCACUCGCAGGCCCCGCCCCUUUCUCUUCCACCCUCUCAUCUUCCUCCUCAUCCUCCCUCUUCUCAUGUCUCUCUUAUUUCUCCUUUUCCUUCUCAUUCUUCUCAUUCUCCUCCUCCGCUUCAUCAGCAUAAUCCUUUA